Molecule: non-coding RNA, 237 nt
Organism: Labrus bergylta (ballan wrasse)
Lineage: Eukaryota; Metazoa; Chordata; Actinopteri; Labriformes; Labridae
Source: RefSeq, a predicted model, not a curated record
CUGGAUUCUGAUCUUCUGUCUGUGUCCAGUUGUAUCUAUUGUCUCCUCUCUCCUCUCCUCACUUGUGGUCUAUCACUGCUGUAAGAAGGCUGAAGAACAUCCUGUUGAUCAGCAAAGACCUGACACUAGAGGUCAUCCAAGACAGAGCCAGGAUGACGAUGUGUGCUAUGCUGCUGUGGAAAUCCGUCAGAAAUCAAAGAGACCAAAGAAGAAGAAGGAACCGCAGACUUCUGACUC